This 408-nucleotide ribosomal RNA is filed under the name uncultured bacterium. RNAcentral describes it as "partial 16S ribosomal RNA". It matches the Rfam family "Bacterial small subunit ribosomal RNA", at positions 28 to 526 of the family's 1533-position model. The record is from RNAcentral.
GACGAACGCUGGCGGCGUGCUUAACACAUGCAAGUCGAACGAAGUCGCGAACGGGUGAGUAACGCGUAAUCAACCUGCCCUUCAGGGGGGGACAACAGUUGGAAACGACUGCUAAUACCGCAUACUGAAGGAGGGGAUUGCGUCGGAUUAGCUAGUUGGAGGGGGAACGGCCCACCAAGGCGAUGAUCAGUAGCCGGUCUUGGGAGAUGAACGGCCACAAUGGGACUGAGACAAGGCCCAGACUUCUACGGGAGGCAGCAGUGGGGAAUCUUCCGCAAUGGACGAAAGUCUGACGGAGCAAAGCCGCGUGGGUGAAGACGGCCUUCGGGGUGGAAAGCUCUGUUAAUCGGGACGCGGUACCGGAAUAGAAAGCCACGGCUAACUACGUGCCAGCAGCCGCGGUAAUAC